Molecule: ribosomal RNA, 403 nt
Filed under: Verrucomicrobiota bacterium
Lineage: Bacteria; Pseudomonadati; Verrucomicrobiota
Description: Verrucomicrobia bacterium partial 16S ribosomal RNA
Rfam family: Bacterial small subunit ribosomal RNA
Source: RNAcentral
UGGGGAAUAUUGCACAAUGGGGGAAACCCUGAUGCAGCGACGCCGCGUGAGCGAAGAAGGCUUUCGAGUCGUAAAGCCCUGUCCUAUGAGAAGAUAAUGACGGUAUCAUAGGAGGAAGCCCUGGCUAAAUACGUGCCAGCAGCCGCGGUAAUACGUAUGGGGCGAGCGUUGUCCGGAAUUAUUGGGCGUAAAGGGUACGUAGGUGGUUUUUUAAGUCAGGUGUCAAAGCGUGGAGCUUAACUCCAUUAAGCACUUGAAACUGAAAGACUUGAGUGAAGGAGAGGGAAGUGGAAUUCCUGGUGUAGCGGUGAAAUGCGUAGAUAUUAGGAGGAAUACCGGUGGCGAAGGCGACUUUCUGGACUUUUACUGACGCUCAGGUACGAAAGCGUGGGGAGCAAACAGG